CCUACGGGGGGCUGCAGUGGGGAAUAUUGGACAAUGGGGGGGAACCCUGAUCCAGCCAUGCCGCGUGUGUGAAGAAGGCCCUCGGGUUGUAAAGCACUUUCAGUGAGGAAGAACGCCUGGUGGUUAAUACCCAUCAGGAAAGACAUCACUCACAGAAGAAGCACCGGCUAACUCCGUGCCAGCAGCCGCGGUAAUACGGAGGGUGCGAGCGUUAAUCGGAAUUACUGGGCGUAAAGCGCGCGUAGGUGGCUUGAUAAGCCGGUUGUGAAAGCCCCGGGCUCAACCUGGGAACGGCAUCCGGAACUGUCAAGCUAGAGUGCAGGAGAGGAAGGUAGAAUUCCCGGUGUAGCGGUGAAAUGCGUAGAGAUCGGGAGGAAUACCAGUGGCGAAGGCGGCCUUCUGGACUGACACUGACACCGAGGUGCGAAAGCGUGGGUAGCAAACAGGAUUAGAUACCCUGGUAGUC
This 466-nucleotide ribosomal RNA is filed under the name Vreelandella stevensii. Its description in RNAcentral is "partial 16S ribosomal RNA". It matches the Rfam family "Bacterial small subunit ribosomal RNA", at positions 338 to 795 of the family's 1533-position model. The record is from RNAcentral. Lineage: Bacteria; Pseudomonadati; Pseudomonadota; Gammaproteobacteria; Oceanospirillales; Halomonadaceae.